Molecule: ribosomal RNA, 477 nt
Filed under: uncultured bacterium
Lineage: Bacteria
Also listed under: 1 other name
Description: bacterial SSU rRNA
Rfam family: Bacterial small subunit ribosomal RNA
Source: RNAcentral
UUCGCAAUGCCCGAAAGGGUGACGAAGCGACGCCGCGUGUGGGAAGAAGGCCUUCGGGUUGUAAACCACUGUCGGGAGUUAAGAAAUACAAGGAUAUGAAUAGUGUCUUUGUUUGACUAAGGCUCCGGAGGAAGCCACGGCUAACUCUGUGCCAGCAGCCGCGGUAAUACAGAGGCGGCAAGCGUUGUUCGGAAUUAUUGGGCGUAAAGAGCACGUAGGCGGCUAUGUAAGUCGGUUGUGAAAGCCUUCCGCUCAACGGAAGAACAGCAUCCGAUACUACAUGGCUUGAGUGCGGGAGGGGAGAGUGGAACUUCUGGUGGAGCGGUGAAAUGCGUAGAUAUCAGAAGGAACGCCGGCGGCGAAAGCGGCUCUCUGGCCCAUAACUGACGCUGAGUGUGCGAAAGCUAGGGGAGCAAACGGGAUUAGAUACCCCGGUAGUCCUAGCCGUAAACGAUGGGCACUAAGUAGAGGGGUUUU